Molecule: unclassified non-coding RNA, 209 nt
Filed under: Glomus sp.
Lineage: Eukaryota; Fungi; Glomeromycota; Glomeromycetes; Glomerales; Glomeraceae
Description: partial contains 5.8S ribosomal RNA and internal transcribed spacer 2
Rfam family: 5.8S ribosomal RNA (bases 1-65)
Source: RNAcentral
GUGAAUCAUCAAAUUUUUGAACGCAAAUUGCACUCUCUUCGGAGAGUAGGCCUGUUUGGGGGUCAGCCUAUGAAAUAUCGACAUCGUUGCUGUUUCGCGGUGGCUUUCGUCGGAGAUUGGGUCAUCUUAAAUCCUUUUGAUUUAAGCGACUUAAAAUUUUCUUUUGGUUCCAUGAACGUUUCUAUGCUCUAUUUCUUUACACGUUUACG